GGGUGAAUAAAUCAUUUUUUUAGCUUAGUAUGGGCGACAGAAAAGCUGAUAGCAGUAAUAGAGAAAAGUAGCGUGAGCGAAAGGCAUUUUCAAGGUAAAAUCAGUGAUGGGUUCUCGUACCUUUUGCAUCAUGGCUUUACAAGUGUUUAUUCUUAGGAAGGCUCCCGAAAGUUUAGCGAUCUAUUUUUUUACUGGGGGUUGGCGUAGAAGGCUAUCUCUAGAUAGAAGAAUAGUGGCGAAAUACCUUUCGCGCUGACUAAUAGCUGGUUGUUUUGUAAAUAUAUUUAAGUAUAGGUCCCACUGAGAAACUAGGGGAAUUAAGCCUUUAGUUUUUAGUGGGAGCCCAGUUUCUUCAGGCUAAGCUGGGGAAAAAGAAGAAAGGUUCUUAGAGAAAGGAGAUGAAAAGUGGGCUUAAAGAAGCCAUCUUUUUAGAGUGGGUUAAUCCUCAGCAUUUCUAAUCAGCAAUCGAAUUAAGUUCCUUUUAUGUGACGAAACUUCUUCACGAAACGAAAGGGUGAAGGUAAUAAUGUAAAGAUGAGUAGCUUAGUUUCUGGGGUUUAUUGGUUCGGGGAAUUAAACAUUAAGUAACAAUUAUGAUAAGCAAAGCUAAAGGAACUCGGCAACAAUGAAAACCGCCUGUUUAACAAAAACAUGGCUCCUUGAAACCAUAAGGAGUCGUGCCUUCCCGGUGAGUUUUCUUAAACGGAUGCGGUAAAGCGUGCUAAGGUAGCUAAGUUAUGGCCUAGUUAAUUGUAGGCCCUGUGAAUGGUUUGACGAGUUUUCCUCUGUCUCUAGCUUGUUUUAGUGAACUUGAAUUGGAUGUGCAAAUGCUUCCUUGAGAAAGAAAGACGAGAAGACCCCGUGAAGUUAGAAAUCUAUGCGCAUGGAGCAGGUGCUUCCCGGUGCUUGUGGUUUUGGCUGGGGCAGCAAGGGGGCAAAAUUAGACCCCCUUAUUCUAAGUGCUGGUGAGCAAUGACCCAUAGUUUCAGAGGGUAUGAAUAGUAGAAGAAGUUACUCCGGGGAUAACAGCGUAAUCCGUCUUGACAGUUCUUAUAGAUGGGCGGGUUUGCGACCUCGAUGUUGGCUCUGGAUGUCCUGAAGCUGUAGGCGGUUUCAAGGGUUGGUUCGUUCGCCCAUUAAAAUCCAACGUGAGCUGAGUUCAGAUCGGCGAAAGCUAGGUCGGUUUCUAUCUUCUUUCUAACGGAAAGCCUUAGGGUACGAAAGGACAUUCGGCUUCAGAGGUUCUGUAAUAGCGGUUUUAUAGUAUGGUUAUAGUAGUGGUACGUUGGU
This 1290-nucleotide ribosomal RNA is filed under the name Argopecten ventricosus. RNAcentral's name for it is "16S ribosomal RNA". It matches the Rfam family "Bacterial large subunit ribosomal RNA", at positions 216 to 2759 of the family's 2925-position model. The record is from RNAcentral. Lineage: Eukaryota; Metazoa; Mollusca; Bivalvia; Pectinida; Pectinidae.